UUGGUUAAGCUAAUAAGAGCACACGGAGGAUGCCUAGGCGCCAGGAGCCGACGAAGGACGUGGCGAACAACGAAACUGCCUCGGGGAGCUGUAAGCAAGCUUUGAUCCGGGGGUGUCCGAAUGGGGAAACCCAGCUGUGGUAAUUCGCAGUUACUUCUCUCUGAAUACAUAGGGGAGAUAGAGGCAGACCAGGGGAACUGAAACAUCUAAGUACCCUGAGGAAGAGAAAACAAUAGUGAUUCCGUCAGUAGCGGCGAGCGAACGCGGAACAGCCUAAACCAAGGGGCUUGCCCCUUGGGGUUGUGGGACGUCUCACAUGGAGUUACAAAGGAAUAUGGUAGGCGAAGAGGUCUGGAAAGGCCCGCGAUAGAGGUAAAAGCCCUGUAGCCUAAACUGUGUUCUCUCCGAGACGGAUCCCGAGUAGUGCGGGGCACGUGAAACCCCGUAUGAAUCCAGCAGGACCAUCUGCUAAGGCUAAAUACUACCUGGCGACCGAUAGUGAAACAGUACCGUGAGGGAAAGGUGAAAAGCACCCCGGAAGGGGAGUGAAAUAGAACCUGAAACCGUGUGCUUACAAAAAGUCAGAGCCCUAUUAAUGGGUGAUGGCGUGCCUUUUGUAGAAUGAACCGGCGAGUUACGUUUAACAUGCAAGGUUAAGGUGAGAAGCCGGAGCCGCAGCGAAAGCGAGUCUGAAUAGGGCGACUUAAGUAUGUGGACGUAGACCCGAAACCGUGUGAUCUACCCCUGUCCAGGGUGAAGGUGCGGUAACACGCACUGGAGGCCCGAACCCACGUAUGUUGAAAAAUGCGGGGAUGAGGUGGGGGUAGCGGAGAAAUUCCAAUCGAACUCGGAGAUAGCUGGUUCUCCCCGAAAUAGCUUUAGGGCUAGCCUCGGUGAAUGGAGUGGUGGAGGUAGAGCACUGAUUGGGUGCGGGGCCCGCAAGGGUUACCAAGCUCAGUCAAACUCCGAAUGCCAUUAACUUCUUGCCGGGAGUCAGACAGUGAGUGCUAAGAUCCAUUGUCAAAAGGGAAACAGCCCAGACCAUCAGCUAAGGUCCCCAAGUGUGUGUUAAGUGGGAAAGGAUGUGGAGUUGCACAGACAACCAGGAUGUUGGCUUAGAAGCAGCCACCAUUGAAAGAGUGCGUAAUAGCUCACUGGUCGAGUGACUCUGCGCCGAAAAUGUAACGGGGCUAAACACACCACCGAAGCUAUGGCUAGAUGCUUUGCAUCUGGGGUAGGGGAGCGUUGUAUGCAGGUUGAAGGUGUACCGUAAGGAGCGCUGGACAGCAUACAAGUGAGAAUGCCGGUAUGAGUAACGAAAAGAUCAGUGAGAAUCUGAUCCGCCGAAAGCCCAAGGUUUCCUGAGGAAGGCUCGUCCGCUCAGGGUAAGUCGGGACCUAAGGCGAGGCCGAAAGGCGUAGUCGAAGGACAACAGUUUGAAAUUACUGUACCACCGUAAUCCGCUAUGAGCGAUGGGGUGACGCAGGAGGGUAGUGACGCGGACUGAUGGAUGUCCGUCUAAGCAGUGAGGCUGGUGUGUAGGCAAAUCCGCACACCGUUAAGGCUGGGCUGUGAUGGGGAGCGAAAAUUAUAGUAGCGAAGGUCAUGAUCUCACACUGCCAAGAAAAGCCUCUAGCCAGGAGAAGGUGCCCGUACCGCAAACCGACACAGGUAGGCGAGAAGAGAAUUCUAAGGCGCGCGGAAGAACUCUCGUUAAGGAACUCGGCAAAAUGACCCCGUAACUUCGGGAGAAGGGGUGCCUCGGUAGGGUGAAUAGCCCGAGGGGGCCGCAGUGAAAAGGCCCAAGCGACUGUUUAGCAAAAACACAGGUCUGUGCGAAGCCGCAAGGCGAAGUAUACGGGCUGACGCCUGCCCGGUGCUGGAAGGUUAAGGGGAGCGGUUAGGAGUAAUCCGAAGCUGUGAACCGAAGCCCCAGUAAACGGCGGCCGUAACUAUAACGGUCCUAAGGUAGCGAAAUUCCUUGUCAGGUAAAUUCUGACCCGCACGAAUGGCGUAACGACUUGGGCGCUGUCUCAACGAGAGAUCCGGUGAAAUUUUAAUACCUGUGAAGAUGCAGGUUACCCGCGACAAGACGGAAAGACCCCAUGGAGCUUUACUGCAGCUUGAUAUUGAAUUUGGGUACGAUCUGUACAGGAUAGGUGGGAGCCGUAGAGGCAGGAGCGCAAGCUUCUGCGGAGGCGCCGUUGGGAUACCACCCUGAUCGUAUCUAGGUUCUAACCUGGUACCCUAAUCGGGUACGGGGACCGUGUCAGGCGGGCAGUUUGACUGGGGCGGUCGCCUCCUAAAGAGUAACGGAGGCGUUCAAAGGUUCCCUCAGAAUGGUUGGAAAUCAUUCGAAGAGUGCAAAGGCAUAAGGGAGCUUGACUGCGAGACCUACAAGUCGAGCAGGGACGAAAGUCGGACUUAGUGAUCCGGUGGUACCGCAUGGAAGGGCCAUCGCUCAACGGAUAAAAGCUACCCUGGGGAUAACAGGCUUAUCUCCCCCAAGAGUCCACAUCGACGGGGAGGUUUGGCACCUCGAUGUCGGCUCAUCGCAUCCUGGGGCUGAAGUAGGUCCCAAGGGUUGGGCUGUUCGCCCAUUAAAGCGGUACGCGAGCUGGGUUCAGAACGUCGUGAGACAGUUCGGUCCCUAUCUGUCGUGGGCGCAGGAAAUUUGAGAGGAGCUGUCCUUAGUACGAGAGGACCGGGAUGGACGUACCGCUGGUGCAUCAGUUGUUCCGCCAGGAGCAUGGCUGAGUAGCUACGUACGGACGGGAUAAGCGCUGAAAGCAUCUAAGCGUGAAGCCCCCCUCAAGAUGAGAUUUCCCAAUUAGUAAGACCCCUUGAAGACGACGAGGUAGAUAGGUUGGAGGUGGAAGUGCAGCAAUGCAUGGAGCUGACCAAUACUAAUCGGUCGAGGGCUUAUCCAAG
Molecule: ribosomal RNA, 2931 nt
Filed under: Paenibacillus sp. FSL H7-0357
Lineage: Bacteria; Bacillati; Bacillota; Bacilli; Caryophanales; Paenibacillaceae
Description: bacterial LSU rRNA
Rfam family: Bacterial large subunit ribosomal RNA
Source: RNAcentral